GACGAACGCUGGCGGCGUGCUUAACACAUGCAAGUCGAACGGAAAGGCCCUGCUUGCAGGGUACUCGAGUGGCGAACGGGUGAGUAACACGUGGGUGAUCUGCCCUGCACUUCGGGUUAAGUCUGUGAAACUGGCUCUAAUACCGGCCAGGUGCCAUUUUUAGUGGGAUGGUUGGAAAGUUUUUUCGGUGUAGGAUGAGCCUGCGGCCUAUCAGCUUGUUGGUGGGGUAAGGGCCUACCAAGGCGGCGACGGGUAGCCGGCCUGAGUGGGUGGACGGCCACAUUGGGACUGAGAUACGGCCCAGACUCCUACGGGAGGCAGCAGUGGGGAAUAUUGCACAAUGGGCGCAAGCCUGAUGCAGCGACGCCGCGUGGGGGAUGACGGCCUUCGGGUUGUAAACACAUUUCGCUAGGGACGAAGCUUUUUGUGACGGUACCUAGAUAAGAAGCACCGGCUAACUACGUG
This 465-nucleotide ribosomal RNA is filed under the name uncultured bacterium. RNAcentral describes it as "partial 16S ribosomal RNA". It matches the Rfam family "Bacterial small subunit ribosomal RNA", at positions 28 to 507 of the family's 1533-position model. The record is from RNAcentral.